AGAGUUUGAUCAUGGCUCAGAUUGAACGCUGGCGGCAUGCUUUACACAUGCAAGUCGAACGGGGUGAGGGGGCAACCUCUCAUUCAGUGGCGAACGGGUGAGUAAUGCAUCGGAACGUGUCCCGCAGUGGGGGAUAACUCGGCGAAAGCCGAGCUAAUACCGCAUACGCUCUGCGGAGGAAAGCGGGGGAUUCGCGAGAACCUCGUGCUAUGGGGGCGGCCGAUGUCCGAUUAGCUAGUUGGUGGGGUAAUGGCCUACCAAGGCGACGAUCGGUAGCUGGUCUGAGAGGAUGAUCAGCCACACUGGGACUGAGACACGGCCCAGACUCCUACGGGAGGCAGCAGUGGGGAAUUUUGGACAAUGGGGGCAACCCUGAUCCAGCCAUGCCGCGUGCGGGAAGAAGGCCUUCGGGUUGUAAACCGCUUUUAUUCGGAAAGAAGGAGUUCGGGUUAAUACCCUGGAUGACAGACGGUACCGGAUGAAUAAGCACCGGCUAACUACGUGCCAGCAGCCGCGGUAAUAC
Molecule: ribosomal RNA, 523 nt
Filed under: uncultured bacterium
Lineage: Bacteria
Description: bacterial SSU rRNA
Rfam family: Bacterial small subunit ribosomal RNA
Source: RNAcentral